CGACUACAUGAAGCUGGAAUCGCUAGUAAUCGCAGAUCAGAAUGCUGCGGUGAAUACGUUCCCGGGUCCUUGUACACACCGCCCGUCACACCAUGGGAGUCGGGAAUGCCCGAAGUCAGUGACCCAACCGCAAGGAGGGAGCUGCCGAAGGCAGGCUCGAUAACUGGGGUGAAGUCGUAACAAGGUAAC
RNAcentral lists this ribosomal RNA (189 nucleotides) under uncultured bacterium. RNAcentral's name for it is "partial 16S ribosomal RNA". It matches the Rfam family "Bacterial small subunit ribosomal RNA", at positions 1313 to 1500 of the family's 1533-position model. The record is from RNAcentral.